Salvelinus fontinalis (brook trout) is the source of this 8725-nucleotide long non-coding RNA. RefSeq lists it as uncharacterized. The record is from RefSeq and is a predicted model, not a curated record. The transcript has 4 exons. NCBI's taxonomy places the organism in Eukaryota, Metazoa, Chordata, Actinopteri, Salmoniformes, Salmonidae.
UUGCGCGUGCGCAUACCACCCAGACACUUCUGCACCACAUGCAAAAGAGGAAAGAAAGCAUGCCUUUACUACAGAGUGUAAAUAGAACAGAAUGUACGCAUGCAUAGUUUGAUUUGUUUGGAUAAAAUGCUGUGUCUACGUAUAUGUAGAAUGCACCCCUGGAAUAUAACAAUUUGAACUUUUAGCAAUGAGAUGGAUUAUUUACGUGUGUCUUAGUCAGGAGUUAUUCUCAUAAAUAGAUGGUUCUCAUAAAUAGAUGAAUUUGCCUAACAUUUUGUGGUAGGUUGGCUAUGUAUUGUCAGUUGCAAGUAUACACGGUAUGAUUAAUGCAUCACUCCUUUAUUAAAGGGAUUUGUAGUCCUAAUAUUCACCAUCGAAAAGAGGCUUGUUGAAUUCGACAUUGAUUAACUGAAAUCAUGUUGUGCAGCUUUAUGUCAACAUGUCAAUUUGCUUCGGACAUGUUUGGACAUUUGUUUGUAAAUGUUUUUUUUUUUUUAAGCUACAAAUCCAACAUGCAGAAGCCUACUUGUUUCCUGUCGUGAGAAUAUUUGGCCUGAACUACAUUGCCCAGCAUGCACUUAACUGGAGACGUCAUCAUCAUUAGUCUGCGUUCUGAGUUGGUGGACAAGAUACACUACAUCAGGUAUUCCCAAACUGGGUUACCGAAAUGCCGUCGGGGGUACGCCAGAUAAAAAAAAAUGUGAACCACAUUUUUAAGGACCAGGAAAUUAUAGGGUUUAUACAUUUUUAUUUGUUAACAUUUUCAAACAGUCCAUUUAUAUUUUCCAACGGGGCAAUACAUGUGGGUGAGUUUUUUUUUUGUCGCCUGAGUAGCCUCGUUUCAAUGCCAAAAUGAAACCAUCUAGUGUUCAGCGAAAUAACAACACAAUGUCAAAUACAGUUUGCAGGCUGACACCAUGCUGAAGAUGGGCUUCCAGCAGCAGGUUCUGGAGGUUCUGGAGCAUGUCCCAGAGGAGCAACAGACCCUGUUGACGUACACCACCAUCCCCAAGGGCACAGAGGCGGCCCGACUGACCCAGGACCCGGUCUGCAUCGCUACUGUGGACAAGAACCAGGCCUGCGCCAACAUCUGCCAGAUUGGCAUUUGUUUACAUCCUUGUUAGGGAGCUAUUCUUCUUUGCCAAGAUAAUCCAUUCACCUGAGAGGUGUGGCAUAUCAAGAAGCUGAUUAAACAGCAUGACUAUUACACAGGUGCACCUUGUGCUGGGGCAAAUAAAAGGCCACUAAAAUGUGCAGUUUUGUCACACAACAAUGCCACAGAUGUCUCAAGUUGAGGGAGUGUGCAAUUGGCAUGCUGACUGCAGGAAUGUCCAACAGAGCUGUUGCCAGAGAAUUGGAUGCUAAGUUGUCUACCAUAACGUUGUUUUAGAGAAUUUGGCAGUACGUACAACCGGCCUCACAACCGCAGACCACGUGUAUGGUGUCGUGUGGGCGAGUGGUUUGCUGAUGUCAACAUUGUGAACAGAGUGUCCCAUGGUGGGGUUAUGCUAUGGGCAGGCAUAAGCUACGGACAAUGAACACAAUUGCAUUUUAUUGAUAGCAAUUUGAAUGCACAGAGAUACCAUUACAAGAUCCUGAGGCCUAUUAUCGUGACAAUUAUCCGCCGCCAUCACCUCAUGUUUCAGCAUGAUAAUGCACGGCCCCAUAUCGCAAGGACCUGUAGACAAUUCCUGGAAGCUGAAGAUGUCUCAGUUCUUCCAUGGCCUGCAUAUUUACCAGAAAUGUCACCCAUUGAGCAUGUGUGGGAUGCUCUGGAUCGAAGUGUAUGACAGAGUGUACGGCAGUGUGCUCCAGUUCCCGCCAAUAUCCAGCAACUUCACACAGCCAUUGAAGAGGAUUGGGACAACAUUCCACAGGCCACAAUCAACUCUAUGCGAAGGAGAUGUGUCACCGCUGUUAUCAAAUGGACUCAUGCUAGCCACAAGUUCUAACUGAGCUCAAUUGUCAUGAAACUCACAUACAGCGAUGAGUUUCUCUCUCUUUCAUACAAACUUUAAGAAUAACCAGGAGCGCCCACAAUGUGUAUUGUGCGGGAAGUGCUUAGUUAAAAAGUCUCUCAAAAUGAACAAAUUAAUAAAACGACACGUCCUGACCAAACAUCCACAGCAUGAUGGAAAACCCAGGGAGUUUUUUUAGAACAGGGCAGAAUGCUUCAGGAAACUGUGCUCCGACAGUGGAAAAGUAAGUCAGCUAGCAAGGCAUUGUUGUCAUUUUUUAACAGGUGUUAAAAAGCAGAAAUAAGGGAGUAGUAUAUGUGAGUUUCUCUUUCAAACAAUCCCCUGGCCUUUUUAAAACAUUUUCUCCCCAAUUAUUAUAAUAUAUUUUUUAAUUAACCCCUUUUUUCUUCCCAAUUUCGUGGUAUCCAAUUGGUAAUUACAGUCUUGUCUCAUCGCUGCAACUCCUGUACUGACUCAAGAGAGGCGAAGUUCGAGAGCCGCGCAGACUCCGAAACACGCUUCUUGUGUGUCUGCACUGCAAUGCUCGCUUAACCCGGAAGCCAGCCACACCAAUGUGUUGAAGGAAACACCGUACACCCGGCGACCAUGUCAGUGUGCAUUGCGCCCGGCCCGCCACAGGAGUCGCUAGAGCGCGAUGGGACAAGGACAACCCGGCCCAACAAACCCUCCUCUAAACAUGACGACGCUGGGAGAAUAGUGGGCUGCCUCAUGGGUCUCCCGGGCACAAUAGGACAAGGACAACCCAGCCUGCCAAACCCUCCCCUAAACCGGACGACGCUGGUCCAAUUGUAUGCCGCCUCAUGGGUUUCCCAGUCGCAGCCGGCUGCGACACAGCCUAGGAUUGAACCAGGAUCUGUAGUGAGGCAGCUAGCACUGCGAUGCAGUGCCUUAGACCGCUGCAACACUCGAGAGGUCCCCAGGCCUUGUACACAGCAAUUUCAAAGUCCCUCAUGGUUUCUUGGUCCGUGUCUUCCAGGAAAAAGUAGCACUGCUUGACGGCCCAGUGUACCUCGAAGCACAUGUUAGCUAAUUACUAACAUUAGCCAAAGCAAGCAAGCUAGCACUGAUAGUGCGGCCCUUAGUAACAGUACAGAUGAAGAUGAAAAAUGAUCAGGCCUACUGUACCUCGUACUGUAGAAAUUAUUGUCAAAAACUAGUCUAGGUUGGAACUGUUGCUGUUAAAAUACAAGUAAUCAUUUUUAUUCCGAACUGGAAUAAACUUAUUGAAGCAAGAUGCUUUUUGAGGCAAACACACUCACACAGUUCUGGGUUGCUCAUUUACAGGAAGCGGUCGCCUGCCUGACUGAGAAAGCAGUAGAUGUUCUGAUCCAGUUUGGCACCACAUAUCUACGCGAGUCAGAAACAGUCUCAAUGCUGAACCUGACCUCAAUAUUGCACUGUCAAAAACUGUGCCCAAAAUAGACAUGCUUGUUGAAAACUUCCACCAGCCACACACCUCUCAUUAGGACUGUGUGUGUUUGUGUGUUUUCUGGUCUACAUCUGUGUGAUGUGAUCAAUCAGUUUAUUUCAGUUCAGAAUAAAAAAUAUGUAUUGUAUUUUAACAGCAACAGUUCCAACCUAGACAGAUAUGUAUGAGUGUUUCUAAUGGGGGAAAAUAAACAUGAAUAGAUAUUUAUAUGUAUAUUUAAUUUCAUUGUUAUUUGGUUUUGUCUAUAUUGCAUUUGUUUUACGUAUAAGGGCAAUGCAAUGUACCAAUAUUUACGUAUAGUUACAUGUUUUCCUAAGUUUGGGUCCCAGGAAAACAUAGAAUUUCUCAUUUGGGUUCCAGGCUGAAAAAGUUUAAGAAUGAAUUUAUUAUUUCAAAUUAACUAUUUAUAUGAACUGUAACUCAAUAAAGUCUUUGAAAUUGUUGCAUGUUGUGUUUAUAUAUUUUUUUCUUUAGUGUACUGGGUCAUGUUCAUUAGUUACUAAACAGAAGAAAAUAGACUGAAACUGGGAGGGGCAUGUCUGCAGAAUUAUUUAUAAUGUUUUCCGUUGCGUGCCCUCAUGAACCCAACCCUGGUGUAGAUUUUAUUUAAUGUUAAUUUAAGUAUUCCGGAUUGGUCAGUAAUUUCUGUAUAGUGUCAUAAAGCAGACACUCUCAGAAUGGAGUGUUAUUAAGUCUGAAAAAUGGUCAUUCCUGCUGUGUGAGGACUGAGAUGGCGCUGGAGGGGAGGGCUGCCGUCUUAUCGGCUCUUAACCAACCAUGCUAUUUUGUUUUGUUUUUCACGUUGUUCGUAACUUGUUUUGUAUAUAAUGUUGCUGCUACCGUCUCUUAUGCCGAAAAGAGCUUCUGGACAUCAGAACUAAGAUUACUCACCUCAAAUUUGACGAGGAGUUCUUCUUCAAUGAGUCGCACACGAGGGAUAUACUACAGACACCCAACCAGGCCCAGAUCCCUGUAAUUCGCUGGAAAAGGAAACGUAGGUUUCGCGGAAAGAGAUCAGGAUGCCUUGUGAGGAUCAGCCGAAGAGUGGCUAAUCUGCCCUUGCCUUCCGUUCUGCUAGCUAACGUUCAAUUGCAGGAAAAUAAAUGGGAUGAACUGAAAGCACGUAUAUACUACCAACAGGACAUUAAAAACUGUAAUAUCUUAUGUUUCACUGAGUUGUGACUGAACGACGACAUUAAGAACAUAUACCUGGCGGGUUAUACACUCUAUCGGCAGGACAGAACAGCAGUCUCUGGUAAGACACGGGUCGGGGGCCUAUGCAUAUUUGUAAACGUCUCAAUGUUUUUCCCGCCUGAGUUAGUGUGAUCUACAGCUUAUCAUGAGAUACUCUAUCUACCAAGAGAGUUUUCAUCUGUAUUUUUUGUAGCUGUCUACAUACCACCACAGACCUAGGCUGGCACUAAAACUGCACUCAAUGAGCUGUAUUCUGCCAUAUGUAAACAGGAAAACGCUCAUCCAGAGGUGGCGCUCCUAGUGGCCGGGGACUUUAAUGCAGGGAAACUUAAAUCAGUUUUAGCCAAUUUCUAUCAGCUUGUUAAAUGUGCAACCGGAGGGAAAACAAUUCUAGACCACCUUUACUCCACACACAGAGACGCGUACAAAGCUCUUCUUCGCCCUCCAUUUGGCAAAUCUGACCAUAACUCUAUCCUCCUGAUUCCUGCUUACUAGCAAAAAUGAAAGCAGGAAGCACCAGUGACUCAGUCUAUAAAAAAGUGGUCAGAUGAAGCAGAUGCUAAACUACAGGACUGUUUUGCUAAUACAGACUGGAAUAUAUUCCGUGAUUCUUCCGAUGGCAUUGAAGAGUACACCACAUCAGUCACUGGCUUUAUCAAUAAGUGCAUCGAGGACGUCGUCCCCACAGUGACUGUACGUACAUACCCCAACCAGAAUCCAUGGAUUACAGGCAACACUCGCACUGAGCUAAAGGGUAGAUCUGCCGCUUUCAAGGAGCGGGACUCCAACCCGGAAGCUUAUAAGAAAUCCCGCUAUGCCCUCUGAUGAACCAUCAAACAGGCAAAGCAUCAAUACGGGACUAAGAUCGAAUCGUACUACACCGGCUCCGACGCUCGCCGUAUAUGGCAGAGCUUGCAAGCUAUUAAAGACUACAAAGGGAAGCACAGCCGAGAGUUGCCCAGUGACACAAGCCUACCAGACGAGCUAAAUAACUUCUAUGCUCGCUUCGAAGCAAGUAACAUUGAAACAUGCAUGAGAGCAUCAGCUGUUCAGGAUGACUGUGUGAUCACACUCUCCGCAGCUGAUGUAAGUAAGACCUUUAAACAGGUCAACAUUCACAUGGCCGCUGGGCCAGACAGAUUACCAGGGUUUGUACUCCGAGCAUGCGCUGACCAACUGGCAAGUGUCUUCACUGAUAUUUUCAACCUCUCUCUGUCUGAGUCUGUAAUACCAACAUGUUUCAAGCAGACCACCAUAGUCCCUGUGUCAAAGAACGCUAAGGUAACCUGCCUAAAUGACGACCGACCCAUAGCAUUCACGUCUGUAGCUAUGAAAUGCUUUGAAAGGCUGGUCAUGGCUCACAUCAACACCAUUAUCCCAGAAACUCUAGACCCACUCCAAUUUGCAUACCGCACCAACAGAUCCACAGAUGAUGCAAUCUCUAUUGCACCCCACACUGCCCUUUCCCACCUGGACAAAAGGAACACCAAUGUAAGAAAGCUAUUCAUUGAAUAUAGCUCAGCGUUCAACACCAUAGUGCCCUCAAAGCUCAUCACUAAGCUAAGGACCCUGGGACUAAACACCUCCCUCUGCAACUGGAUCCUGGACUUCCUGACGGGCUCUCCCCAGGUGGUAAGGGUAGGCAACAAGACGUCUGCCCCUCAGGAGUGCGUGCUCAGUCCCCUCCUGUACUCCCUGUUCACUCAUGACUACUCGGCCAGGCACAACUUCAACAACUAUCAUUAAGUUUGCUGAUGACACAACAGUGGUAGGCCUGAUCAAAGACAACGAUGAGACAGCCUAUAGGGAGGACCGUGUGGUGCAAGGACAACAACCUCUCCCUCAACGUGAUCAAGACAAAGGAGAUCGACUGGGCUGCAGUGGAGCAGGUUGAGAGCUUCAAGUUCCUUGGCAUCCACAUCACCAACAAACUAACAUGGUCCAAGACAAUCGUGAAGAGGGCACGACAAAACCUAUUCCCCUCGGGAGACUGAAAAGAUUUGGCAUGGGUCCUCAGAUCCUCAAAAGGUUUUACAGCUGCAACAUCGAGAGCAUCCUGGCUGGUUGCAUUACUGCCUGGUAUGGGCAAUUGCUCGGCCUCCGACCGCAAGGCACUACAGAGGGUAGUGCGUACGGGCCAGUACAUCACCGGGGCCAAGCUUCCUGCCAUCCAGGACCUCUAUACCAGGUGGUGUCAAAGGGAGGCCUUAAAAAUUGUCAAAGAGUCCAGCCACCCUAGUCAUAGACUGUUCUCUCUGCUACCGCACGGCAAGCGGUACCGGAGCGCCAAGUCUAGGUCCAAGAGGCUUUUAAACAGCUUCUACACCCAAGCCAUAAAACUCAGGAACAGCUAAUCACAUAGCUAAUCACAUGGCUACCCAAACUAUUUGGAAUUUCCCCCCCUGCUACUGCUGCUCUACUGCUGAUCUUUAAUUAUUUGUUAUUCUUAUCCCUUACUUUUUUGGGAGGUAUUUUCUUAAAACUGCAUUGUUGGUUAGGGGCUUGUAAGUCAGAAUUUCACUGUAAGGUCUACAUACCUGUUGUAUUCGGCGCAUGUGACAAAUAAAAUUUGAUUUGAAGCUCUUAAAGACUUCUCUCACUGGCCCAUAUUUAGAAAGCCAUCACUGCAGCCCGCCCCCCUUUCCAGAGGAAAUGGGUGGAGCCUUAGCCAUGACCUCACUCGAGGAAACUAAGCAACGGUUUAUACCAUCUAUACAAGGCAGGGAGCAGGAAGAGGCUGUGCUUUCAUAAACCCAUUGGAGAAAUUGCAUUACUGCCCAGUAAAUCAGACUUUUUUUUGCUAUACAGGGGGAUAUUGACUUGGCACUCCUGCAUUUUACCUGUUAUCCAACAAUUCUGAAAUAAAAUGUAAUUAUCAUGUUCUUUUAUAGGUUUAGUUUUGUAGGUUUUAGCAGACUGUCUUAUCCCAAGCCACUCACAUUACUCAUGAUGGCUUAUAGUAAAUGCACAGAGGGGUGAAACAUCAGCAUAAUACAUCAACAAGCAUAAUAAAUCAACUCUUCCUUAGAUGUAGGAAGAAAUGUUUUUGAGACGGAGAUGGCCAUCACAUUUUGUAUAACACCACUGACCUGUGUGUUUAUCUUGUGUGCGCCCAGGAUGGGAAACUGUACCAGCCUCCGGUGGUGGUGAUUAUAGACUGUAAGCUGGGGGCAGACCUGCUAUGUGAGCCGGGAAGUAGGUCAUGGGCCUCAACACGGUGGCCAUCCACUCCGACAAGACCCAGUGGGAACGCAACCGCAUCCUCAAGGGUCUACUUGAAGGUCCACUGGCGUACUGGGCAGAGGGCUCAAACUGCUCAACGUCAAACUGGUGGUCUUUGACAUCUCACCCAACAUGGACAAGUAUGUUCAUCAGUGGUGUCAAAGCCAUUUUAGGUGUCCUGUCACUCCUUCCUCACAGCUGGGCAGAGCAGGCAGACUGGGCCACCGGGGUACUGCCUUCACGUUGGUCAACAACAUCAACAAGUGUCUGUUCCUGAAGGUGGUAAACUGGGUGAAGCCCACAGGCUCCCAGCUGCCCCCCCCCAGCUCCUCAACUCGCCUCACCUCCACGAGCAGCAGAGGAAGGAGAAGCAGAAAGCCACGUAAAGUAGAGAGGAUGAUGUCGUUGGUCACCAAGACCAACCUCCUCGACAUCAUCUGGAAACACAACAGGAGAUUAAAAAGAUAGAAACAGUUCGACAGAGGCACUUGUUAUAGUUACUUUGUGUUUAUAUCAGGGUAAAUUUGUCAUUUUUUAAUAAAUGAAUAUGAAAACUUGAUUGAGUUGUCAUUUGGAUUUGACCCUCUUUUACAUGCAAUAUGGUAAUAUACACGAUAUAUAUAUACAAAGUAUGUGGACACCCCUUCAAAUUAGUGGAUUCGGCUAUUUCAGCCACACCUGUUGUUGACAGGUGUAUAAAAUUGAGCACAUAGCCAUGUAAUCACCAUAGACAAACAGUAGAAUGGCCUUACUGAAUAGCUCAGUGACUUUCAGCAAGGCACCGUCAUAGGAUGCCACCUUUCCAACAAGUCAGUUCAUCAAAUUUCUGCCCUGCUAGAGCUGUCCCAGUCAACUGUAAGUGCUGUUUAUGUGAAGUGGAAACGUCUAGGAGUAGCAACGG